Molecule: ribosomal RNA, 253 nt
Filed under: uncultured bacterium
Lineage: Bacteria
Description: partial 16S ribosomal RNA
Rfam family: Bacterial small subunit ribosomal RNA
Source: RNAcentral
UACGGGGGAGCAAGCGUUGUUCGGAUUUACUGGGCGUAAAGGGCGCGUAGGCGGCCACCGCAAGUCGACUGUGAAAUCUCCGGGCUUAACCCGGAAAGGUCAGCCGAUACUGCGGGGCUAGAGUGCAGAAGGGGCAACUGGAAUUCUCGGUGUAGCGGUGAAUGCGUAGAUAAUCGAGAGGAACACCUGCGGCGAAGGCGGGUUGCUGGGCUGACACUGACGCUGAUGCGCGAAAGCUAGGGGAGCGAACGGG